UUUCCGUAGGUGAACCUGCGGAAGGAUCAUUACCGAGUGAGGGCCCUCUGGGUCCAACCUCCCACCCGUGUUUAUCGUACCUUGUUGCUUCGGCGGGCCCGCCGCAAGGCCGCCGGGGGGCAUCUGCCCUCUGGCCCGCGCCCGCCGAAGACACCAUUGAACGCUGUCUGAAGAUUGCAGCCUGAGCAAUUAGUUAAAUAACUUAAAACUUUCAACAACGGAUCUCUUGGUUCCG
This 235-nucleotide unclassified non-coding RNA is filed under the name plant metagenome. RNAcentral describes it as "partial contains small subunit ribosomal RNA, internal transcribed spacer 1, and 5.8S ribosomal RNA". The record is from RNAcentral.